RNAcentral lists this long non-coding RNA (507 nucleotides) under Homo sapiens (human). RNAcentral describes it as "non-protein coding lnc-RTN1-1:1". Lineage: Eukaryota; Metazoa; Chordata; Mammalia; Primates; Hominidae. The record is from RNAcentral.
GAAAAAGAGGGGAUCAAAGACUCCCGGUGAUGUACGCCCGAAGGCCACCAGGUGACGGAUUCUGACCUUAUCACAGAGAGAGGGUGGAUUCCGGGGCAAUCCGAUUCAAGUCCGAGUCCACUCCGAUUUCCCAAUCCCUGUCUUGCAGCAGAAGCUCUCGGGUCCUGGAAGCGCGGAGCCUCUCUGGCCUUGAGCCCCGAGGGCAUGGCCCUGUGAUGUCACAAGGUGGCGUGACAGCCGGGACGAACCCCGACCCCCAGCGCGGCAUCCUUCCCGCGGCCAGCGACCACCGCCUCCCGGGAAGGUGGCUGACCACAGCCGCAAGCCGCUGCGCGCCCGGCAAGCCGAAUGGAAGGACGGCGCGGGCAAACGAACGCCCAGUGAGGUCCAGAGAAGAGAGGGACCUUCCGAGGGUCUUCUAGUCGAUCUCGGACAGGCUUUUGAGUGCCUUUUAAGCAUUCCAAAAUUUUCAGGAGACAACAGUAAUUUACAAAAUAGAGUAGAAUU